UACACUCCUGCGGGAGGCAGCAGUAGGGAAUCUUCCACAAUGGGUGCAAACCUGAUGGAGCAAUGCCGCGUGAGUGAAGAAGGUCUUCGGAUCGUAAAGCUCUGUUGUUAGAGAAGAACACGUGCUAGGUAACUACUAGCGCCUUGACGGUAUCUAACCAGAAAGUCACGGCUAACUACGUGCCAGCAGCCGCGGUAAUACGUAGGUGACAAGCGUUGUCCGGAUUUAUUGGGCGUAAAGGGAGCGCAGGCGGUCUGUUUAGUCUAAUGUGAAAGCCCACGGCUUAACCGUGGAACGGCAUUGGAAACUGACAGACUUGAAUGUAGAAGAGGAAAAUGGAAUUCCAAGUGUAGCGGUGGAAUGCGUAGAUAUUUGGAGGAACACCAGUGGCGAAGGCGAUUUUCUGGUCUAACAUUGACGCUGAGGCUCGAAAGCGUGGGGAGCGAAGAGGAUUAGAAACCCGAGUAGUCCC
This 472-nucleotide ribosomal RNA is filed under the name uncultured organism. Its description in RNAcentral is "partial 16S ribosomal RNA". It matches the Rfam family "Bacterial small subunit ribosomal RNA", at positions 332 to 797 of the family's 1533-position model. The record is from RNAcentral.